This 618-nucleotide long non-coding RNA is filed under the name Helianthus annuus (common sunflower). RNAcentral describes it as "sRNA HanXRQr2_Chr03g0100521". Lineage: Eukaryota; Viridiplantae; Streptophyta; Magnoliopsida; Asterales; Asteraceae. The record is from RNAcentral.
AUGAACACCCACAACUUGCAAGAACUCUCAAAGCAUUUCCAGGAGCAAUCUGAUCGUCAAGGCAGCCUCCAAACUAGAGCCUUCCGGUAAAUUGUACCUACGCUUACUUAAGUGAAUACGGCUGAGUUAUUAUAAUUCUUGCUACUUAAGACAGGAGCUAGCUCAGGUAAAUACUCUUAACUUAUUUUCCCUAUUACGGGCUUGGGAUACGGUAAUAUAAAUACCGCAUGGUCAGGUAUGGGAUUCGAAGACCAAUGUGUCGGGAAAUCCAAAUAACCUGUUUUUAAUUCGUAUUGCUUGACUGAAACAUUGGGGGUUAAUGCGACCGUGUCCUGGAUAUCCUUGACUCAUUAAAUGUAAUGGCCACGACCUAAGCACGGGGUGUAGGCAUACACCUGACAGAUGCUUUAUGCUUAUAAAUUGAUUAUACCCAAUAAGGGAUUCCCAAUAAGGGAAUAGUGGUGUGUCGGUUAAUCUUGAACCGGCAUAGGACCGGGCCCCGCAUGUAGAGCAAGUUAUGUAAAACUGAUAACAUGAGAUAUAGUUUGUCCCAAGUAUAAAAGAUUAAUCUUGCCUUGUGCAUCUUAAUCAAGUGUCAAAAAUAGUUUUGUGCCUUGU